CGGGUAGCUAUGUUCGGAAAAGAUAACCGCUGAAAGCAUCUAAGCGGGAAACUUGCCUCAAGAUGAGAUCUCACUGGGAACUUGAUUCCCCUGAAGGGCCGUCGAAGACUACGACGUUGAUAGGCUGGGUGUGUAAGCGUUGUGAGGCGUUGAGCUAACCAGUACUAAUUGCCCGUGAGGCUUGACCAUAUAACACCCAAACA
Molecule: ribosomal RNA, 203 nt
Filed under: Pseudomonas aeruginosa
Lineage: Bacteria; Pseudomonadati; Pseudomonadota; Gammaproteobacteria; Pseudomonadales; Pseudomonadaceae
Description: partial 23S ribosomal RNA
Rfam family: Bacterial large subunit ribosomal RNA
Source: RNAcentral